GACGAACGCUGGCGGCGUGCUUAACACAUGCAAGUCGAACGAAGAGCGAUGGACGCUUGCUUCUAUCCCUCUUAGUGGCGCACGGGUGAGUCACGCGUAAUCAACCUGCCCUUCAGAGGGGGACAACAGUUGGAAACGACUGCUAAUACCGCAUACGCUCUAAUCUCGGCAUCGAGGAUAGAUGAAAGGUGGCCUCUACAUGUAAGCUAGCACUGAAGUUGGGGAUUGCGUCUGGUUCGCAAGUAGGAGGGGUAACGUCCCACGAAGGCGAUGAUCAGUAGCCGGUCUGAGAGGAUGAACGGCCACAUUGGGACGGAGACACGGCCCAGACUCCUACGGGAGGCAGCAGUGGGGAAUCUUCCGCAAGGGACGAAAGUCUGACGGAGCAACGCCGCGUGAGGGAUGACGGCCUUCGGGUUGUAAAGCUCGGUUAAUCGGGACGAAAGGCCUUCUUGCGAAUAGUGAGAAGGAUUGACGGUACCGGAAGAGAAAGCCACGGCUAACUACGUG
This 510-nucleotide ribosomal RNA is filed under the name uncultured bacterium. RNAcentral's name for it is "partial 16S ribosomal RNA". It matches the Rfam family "Bacterial small subunit ribosomal RNA", at positions 28 to 507 of the family's 1533-position model. The record is from RNAcentral.